UCCUGCUGAUACCCACAGUGAAACAUUAGAAAAGCAUGUGCGACAAUUGGGCAAUGCUCGGAGAUGCGCACAGCGCAGGGGAUGACAAUUUGCUGACCUGGACAGGGACCAAGUGUGUGUGUUCCGGUUGGGUGGCUGCAUAACGCUGCCAGCAUGUAUAUAUUAUCCAUCUCUCCCCACCCCGGCCUAACCCAGAUGCUGCAUGACUGAUUGUACCCCAGAGAAGCUCCAGCCUCUUCAGGUAAUUCAAUUGCUGAGUCUCCAAAACCAAUGAAUUAAAAAAAAAAACCAAAACA
This 296-nucleotide long non-coding RNA is filed under the name Chrysolophus pictus (golden pheasant). Its description in RNAcentral is "lncRNA (ENSCPIG00010011809.1)". Lineage: Eukaryota; Metazoa; Chordata; Aves; Galliformes; Phasianidae. The record is from RNAcentral.